RNAcentral lists this long non-coding RNA (1096 nucleotides) under Nicotiana tabacum (common tobacco). RNAcentral describes it as "long non-coding RNA (NTAB_LNC012977)". The record is from RNAcentral. Lineage: Eukaryota; Viridiplantae; Streptophyta; Magnoliopsida; Solanales; Solanaceae.
AAUUCUAUGGUGAUUAUGUGCGAUGCAAAGCUUCAGGAACUCCUAGAAUGUGAAAGCAUUUCUGCUUCGGAAAUACCUCAGAUGCUGGCACGUCGUCAUUUUGUUUAGCAAUGACUAUACGUCUACAUUACUAUGAUAGGUAAAGAAUGCCACGUUGACCUUUCAUAAGCAGAAAGGCUAGUUUACCAUUUUGUCCUCGAGGGAGAUUGUAUCAUAUCGAUAAAGAAUUAUAAAAUAAAUAAAAUAACUCGUUUCUUUGAUAUUUACACUGAUUUUCCUUAUGGCAAUUUUCAAUUAGCUAUGUACUAAUAGUUAAAAUUUACAAUUCUUUUGCAAGAAGCCUAAAAGAUAGGGAAGGUUCACAGAGCAGUUCAUUUAAUUUAAAGGGGUAAUUAUGUAUCUUUUAGGGGGAAACAUGUAGUAUGGGUGGUGGGAAUACUGUUUUUCUGCAUUGUACUUGUUCCUGUACCAUAUUAAUAAAAGACUUUACCUAUCAAAAUAAUAAUAAUAAUAAUUUAAAGGGGUAAUUAAUAGAAAAUGUACAGUAUACUUUCUGAAGGAAACUGAAAGAAAUGGUUGGCUGUUUUGUCAAAUGCAAGAGCGUUCUUUUCGGUUUACCAUUGUUAUAACAAACAGUUCAUUAACAUUCUCUAGAAUAUGCUCAAGUCAUUUCAGCUCUUGGAUAUCCCGCAACUGCUUCUCGUUCAAAUAUAUGAUUGAUGAGACAUGAGCCCCUUUUUACUCUUUCUUUCUGUUUAGUUGUAAGAUGAAAAAUUUUAUGGUUUAGAGAAAAUCAAGUGUUCUUAGUGGGGAUGACAACAUCAUUUUGCCUCUAGUAAUAAUUCUUUAAUAUGUGUACAAGAUUAUGUUUGACUUGAAUAUUUGCCCAGUUGUUGCUUUUCGAUGCCCAUAAGCAUUUGCAUUGGACUUCCAUCUGAUUUGAUCCACAACCUCCCGCUGUGUUUUCUUGCAGGUAUUUCAGGUCAUAGCUGUCUAGUCGUUUGAUGAUACGCUAAUGUUUCCGAAGAUGUAUCUUGGUUCUUAGGUAAUUUUAGUUUGUUAACAUAGUUAGACUCAUGGUAUGUAAUUAGAAUUC